Molecule: long non-coding RNA, 310 nt
Filed under: Neodiprion pinetum (white pine sawfly)
Lineage: Eukaryota; Metazoa; Arthropoda; Insecta; Hymenoptera; Diprionidae
Description: uncharacterized LOC124223962, transcript variant X1
Source: RNAcentral
GACGCUCCUGGUCCAUGUAAUCAGUCACCGUGUUACCGUGGUGAACCUCACCCAUGUUCCCGAUCGUUCCAGAGUAGAAGAGCAUCCGCUCGGUUGUCGUUGUUUUUCCUGAUUUAUAUUACGGUCAGUAAUGUCCUCAUCUUCGGGUUGGCCCUGCUUACACUCUAGAAGGAAGAUGGGCGAAAAAUGUCUCGAUACACAAUGUAGUCAUUUAUGAAAUGUGUGCAAUUAAUCAGCAGUGUGCGAUAAUUAUAGAUGAUGCAAUAGGUCUACUCAAGGCAGAUAUGAAAAAUUAAUACAUUAGAAGAAA